CCUACGGGAGGCAGCAGUGGGGAAUAUUGGGCAAUGGGCGCAAGCCUGACCCCGCAACGCCGCGUGAAGGAAGAAGGCUUUCGGGUUGUAAACUUCUUUUGUCAGGGACGAAGCAAGUGACGGUACCUGCCGAAUAAGCCACGGCUAACUACGUGCCAGCAGCCGCGGUAAUACGUAGGUGGCAAGCGUUAUCCGGAUUUACUGGGUGUAAAGGGCGUGUAGGCGGGGAGGCAAGUCAGAUGUGAAAACCACGGGCUCAACCUGUGGCCUGCAGUUGAAACUGUGUUUCUUGAGUGCUGGAGAGGCAAUCGGAAUUCCGUGUGUAGCGGUGAAAUGCGUAGAGAUACGGAGGAACACCAGUGGCGAAGGCGGAUUGCUGGACAGUAACUGACGCUGAGGCGCGAAAGCGUGGGGAGCAAACAGGAUUAGAUACCCUUGUAGUC
This 443-nucleotide ribosomal RNA is filed under the name uncultured bacterium. RNAcentral describes it as "partial 16S ribosomal RNA". It matches the Rfam family "Bacterial small subunit ribosomal RNA", at positions 338 to 795 of the family's 1533-position model. The record is from RNAcentral.